RNAcentral lists this ribosomal RNA (559 nucleotides) under Hataia parva. RNAcentral's name for it is "partial 16S ribosomal RNA". It matches the Rfam family "Bacterial large subunit ribosomal RNA", at positions 1816 to 2594 of the family's 2925-position model. The record is from RNAcentral. Lineage: Eukaryota; Metazoa; Cnidaria; Hydrozoa; Anthoathecata; Corymorphidae.
AGCCUUUGUAAAAAUAUCAAAGGUGGGACCUGCCCGGUGGUUUAAAGAUUUAAUUAUGAUCAAUUUAAAAUAAAAUUUAACGGACGCGGUAACUCUGACUGUGAUAAUGUAGCAUAAUAAGUUGCCGCUUAAUUGGUGGAGUGUAUGAAUGGUUUUACGAAUAUUUCAUUGUCUUAAAGAGAAUUUUUUAAAAUUAAAAUAAUAGUUAAGAUGCUAUUUUAAACUGUAAGACGAAAAGACCCUAUAGAGCUUUACUAUAUUUAUUUUGGUAGUUUAGUUGGGGCGACUGUCUUUUAUAAUUAACGAAGUACAAGCAAUAUUAAUAAUUUUAAUUUAUUGUAUAAUAAUUAGAUUUAACAAUUACAAAUGUAGGCUAUAAUGACCCGUUAAGAUUUAUUAAACAACUUAACGAUCAAUAAAUAAAAGCUACCUUAGGGAUAACAGGAUAAUUUUGUUUUAGAGUUCUAAUCGAAUACAAAGUUUGUCACCUCUAUGUUGAAUUAAGAUAUCCAGGUAAUGYUAGAAGUUACCAAAGGUGGGUCUGUUCGACCCAUAAAAU